CCCUAAAAAGUUCUUUAGSC
Molecule: transfer RNA, 20 nt
Filed under: Dryophytes immaculatus (spotless tree toad)
Lineage: Eukaryota; Metazoa; Chordata; Amphibia; Anura; Hylidae
Description: partial tRNA-Phe
Source: RNAcentral